RNAcentral lists this ribosomal RNA (377 nucleotides) under uncultured bacterium. RNAcentral describes it as "bacterial SSU rRNA". It matches the Rfam family "Bacterial small subunit ribosomal RNA", at positions 77 to 457 of the family's 1533-position model. The record is from RNAcentral.
AGCUUGCUCCGCUGACGAGUGGCGAACGGGUGAGUAAUAUAUCGGAACGUGCCCUAGAGUGGGGGAUAACUAGUCGAAAGAUUAGCUAAUACCGCAUACGAUCUACGGAUGAAAGUGGGGGAUCGCAAGACCUCAUGCUCAUGGAGCGGCCGAUAUCUGAUUAGCUAGUUGGUAGGGUAAAAGCCUACCAAGGCAUCGAUCAGUAGCUGGUCUGAGAGGACGACCAGCCACACUGGGACUGAGACACGGCCCAGACUCCUACGGGAGGCAGCAGUGGGGAAUUUUGGACAAUGGGCGCAAGCCUGAUCCAGCAAUGCCGCGUGAGUGAAGAAGGCCUUCGGGUUGUAAAGCUCUUUUGUCAGGGAAGAAACGGACUG